AGGAUAAACGCUGGCGGCGUGCCUAACACAUGCAAGUCGAACGCCCUACGCAAGUAGGGAGUGGCGGACGGGUGAGGAACACGUGGGGAUCUGCCCAGAGGUGAGGAAUACCGGCGAGAAAUCGCCGACAAUACCGCAUAACCUUCUCACGAAGGAAAGUCGCAAGACGCCUAUGGAUGAACCUGCGUCCGAUUAGUUUGUUGGUGGGGUAAUGGCCUACCAAGACAACGAUCGGUAGCUGGUCUGAGAGGACGAUCAGCCACACUGGGAUUGAGAACGGCCCAGACUCCUACGGGGGGCAGCAGUGAGGAAUUUUCGUCAAUGGGGGCAACCCUGAACGAGCAACGCCGCGUGCAGGAAGAAGGUUUUCGGAUCGUAAACUGCUUUUCUGUGGGAAGAGAACGGACGGUACCACAGGAAGAAGCCCCGGCUAACUACGUGCCAGCAGCCGC
RNAcentral lists this ribosomal RNA (452 nucleotides) under uncultured bacterium. RNAcentral describes it as "SSU rRNA". It matches the Rfam family "Bacterial small subunit ribosomal RNA", at positions 26 to 518 of the family's 1533-position model. The record is from RNAcentral.